Molecule: ribosomal RNA, 241 nt
Filed under: uncultured bacterium
Lineage: Bacteria
Also listed under: 1 other name
Description: partial 16S ribosomal RNA
Rfam family: Bacterial small subunit ribosomal RNA
Source: RNAcentral
CGGACGGGUGAGUAACACGUGGAUAACCUACCUAUAAGACUGGGAUAACUUCGGGAAACCGGAGCUAAUACCGGAUAAUAUAUUGAACCGCAUGGUUCAAUAGUGAAAGACGGUUUUGCUGUCACUUAUAGAUGGAUCCGCGCCGCAUUAGCUAGUUGGUAGGGUAACGGCUUACCAAGGCGACGAUGCGUAGCCGACCUGAGAGGGUGAUCGGCCACACUGGAACUGAGACACGGUCCAG